CUACGGACUUAGAAAACUGAGCCUUGAGGUGAGAAAUCCCUUAAGUGACGGCUCUCAAAUUCAGGGAAACCUAAAUCUGGAGACAGACAAGGCAAUCCUGAGCCAAGCCUAGUUCAUGGACUAGGAAGGUGCAGAGACUCGACGGGAGCUACCCUAACGUAAAGGCGAGGGUAAAGGGAGAGUCCAAUUCUCAAAGCUGUUUGGAC
This is an intron RNA of Limnoraphis robusta CS-951, 206 nucleotides long. It matches the Rfam family "Group I catalytic intron". Rfam says of the family: Group I catalytic introns are large self-splicing ribozymes. They catalyse their own excision from mRNA, tRNA and rRNA precursors in a wide range of organisms. The record is from Rfam. Lineage: Bacteria; Bacillati; Cyanobacteriota; Cyanophyceae; Oscillatoriales; Sirenicapillariaceae.